UGGGGAAUCUUGCGCAAUGGGCGAAAGCCUGACGCAGCAACGCCGCGUGCGGGAUGAAGGCUCUCGGGUUGUAAACCGCUUUCAGCAGGAACGAAAAUGACGGUACUUGCAGAAGAAGGUGCGGCCAACUAUGUGCCAGCAGCCGCGGUGAUACAUAGGCACCAAGCGUUGUCCGGAUUUAUUGGGCGUAAAGAGCUCGUAGGUGGUUCGGUAAGUCGGGUGUGAAAACUUUGGGCUCAACCCAAAGCCUGCAUCCGAUACUGCUGUGACUAGAGUUCGGUAGGGGAGCGGGGAAUUCCUAGUGUAGCGGUGAAAUGCGCAGAUAUUGGGAGGAACACCGGUGGCGAAAGCGGCUCUCUAGACCGAUAUUGACGCUCAUACGCGAGAGCGUGGGUAGCAAACAGGAUUAGAUACCCCAGUAGUCCCUGAGCGGGCUGGCAAGGCGCAU
This 448-nucleotide ribosomal RNA is filed under the name uncultured bacterium. RNAcentral describes it as "bacterial SSU rRNA". It matches the Rfam family "Bacterial small subunit ribosomal RNA", at positions 355 to 825 of the family's 1533-position model. The record is from RNAcentral.